UUCAAUUGUUUGUCACCAAUUGAAACCAAUAUGAAGCCUGUUGACAUUUUGCUCAAGAAUUCUUCACCGAGACCAAUUGAGAACACAAU
Molecule: non-coding RNA, 89 nt
Organism: Caenorhabditis elegans
Lineage: Eukaryota; Metazoa; Nematoda; Chromadorea; Rhabditida; Rhabditidae
Source: Ensembl